GGGCUUGUAGUUCAAUGGAUAGAACAUAAGACUUCUAAUCUUAUGAUUCCAGUUCGAAUCUGGGCAGGCUCA
This 72-nucleotide transfer RNA is filed under the name Crassvirales sp. RNAcentral's name for it is "tRNA-Arg". It matches the Rfam family "tRNA". From Rfam's summary of the family: Transfer RNA (tRNA) molecules are approximately 80 nucleotides in length. Their secondary structure includes four short double-helical elements and three loops (D, anti-codon, and T loops). The record is from RNAcentral. Lineage: Duplodnaviria; Heunggongvirae; Uroviricota; Caudoviricetes; Crassvirales.